UAAGUCAUUGUGACACGGUAGUGUUUGUGUGUGUGUGUGUGUGUAUAUGUAUAUAUAUAUAUACAUACACACACAUAAACACUACCGUGGCACAAU
Non-coding RNA from Pelobates cultripes (western spadefoot toad), 96 nucleotides. The record is from the annotation of a GenBank genome assembly. Lineage: Eukaryota; Metazoa; Chordata; Amphibia; Anura; Pelobatidae.